This 253-nucleotide ribosomal RNA is filed under the name uncultured bacterium. Its description in RNAcentral is "partial 16S ribosomal RNA". It matches the Rfam family "Bacterial small subunit ribosomal RNA", at positions 524 to 776 of the family's 1533-position model. The record is from RNAcentral.
UACGUAGGGAGCAAGCGUUGUCCGGAAUCAUUGGGCGUAAAGCGCGCGUAGGCGGCCCUGUAAGUCCGUUGUGAAAGUCAAAGGCUCAACCUUUGAAAGCCGAUGGAUACUGCAGGGCUAGAGUCCGGAAGAGGCGAGUGGAAUUCCUGGUGUAGCGGUGGAAUGCGCAGAUAUCAGGAGGAACACCCAUAGCGAAGGCAGCUCGCUGGGACGGUACUGACGCUAAGGCGCGAAAGCGUGGGGAGCAAACAGG